GAUGAACGCUGGCGGCGUGCCUAAUACAUGCAAGUCGAGCGAACAGACGAGGUGCUUGUUCCUCUGACGUUAGCGGCGGACGGGUGAGUAACACGUGGAUAACCUACCUAUAAGACUGGGACAACUUUGGGAAACCGGUGCUAAUACCGGAUAAUAUCUUGAACCACAUGGUUCAAUAGUGAAAGACGGUAUUGCUGUCACUUAUAGAUAUAUCCGGGUCGAUUUAGCUAGUUGGUAGGUUAACGGCUUACCAAGGCAACGAUGCGUAGCCGACCGGAAGGGGGGACCGGCAACACUGGAACUGAGACACGCUCCAGCCUCCUACGGAAGGCGCAGGAAGGGAACCUUGCGCAAUGGGCGAAAGCCUGACGGAGCAACGCCGCGUGGGUGAGGAAGGUCUUCGGUUGUAAAAACUCUGUGAUUGGGGAAGAACAAAUGUGUAAUUAACUAUGCAUGACUUGACGGUACCUAAUCAGAAAGCCACGGCUAACUACGUG
RNAcentral lists this ribosomal RNA (497 nucleotides) under uncultured bacterium. RNAcentral's name for it is "partial 16S ribosomal RNA". It matches the Rfam family "Bacterial small subunit ribosomal RNA", at positions 28 to 507 of the family's 1533-position model. The record is from RNAcentral.